Molecule: ribosomal RNA, 840 nt
Filed under: uncultured Micrococcineae bacterium
Lineage: Bacteria; Bacillati; Actinomycetota; Actinomycetes; Micrococcales
Description: bacterial SSU rRNA
Rfam family: Bacterial small subunit ribosomal RNA
Source: RNAcentral
GUCGAGCGAUGAAGCACCUUCGGGUGUGAAUUAGCGGCGAACGGGUGAGGAACACGUGAAGAAUCUGCCUUCAACUCUGGGAUAACUCCGGGAAACCGGGGCUAAUACCGGAUAUGAGCCUUGAUCGCAUGAUCGGGGCUGGAAAGUUUUUCGGUUGAAGAUGACUUCGCGGCCUAUCAGCUUGUUGGUGAGGUAAUGGCUCACCAAGGCGACGACGGGUAGCCGGCCUGAGAGGGCGACCGGCCACACUGGGACUGAGACACGGCCCAGACUCCUACGGGAGGCAGCAGUGGGGAAUAUUGGGCAAUGGAGGAAACUCUGACCCAGCGACGCCGCGUGAGGGAUGAAGGCCUUCGGGUUGUAAACCUCUUUCAGUAGGAAAGAAGCGAAAGUGACGGUACCUACAGAAGAAGCACCGGCUAACUAUGUGCCAGCAGCCGCGGUAAUACAUAGGGUGCAAGCGUUGUCCGGAAUUAUUGGGCGUAAAGAGCUCGUAGGUGGUUCGAUACGUCGGAUGUGAAAAUCAGGGGCUCAACCCCUGACCUGCAUCCGAUACGGUCGAGCUAGAGUUUGGUAGGGGAGACUGGAAUUCCUGGUGUAGCGGUGGAAUGCGCAGAUAUCAGGAGGAACACCGAUGGCGAAGGCAGGUCUCUGGGCCAAUACUGACACUGAGGAGCGAAAGCGUGGGGAGCGAACAGGAUUAGAUACCCUGGUAGUCCACGCCGUAAACGGUGGGCGCUAGUUGUGCGAACCUUCCACGGUUUGUGCGACGCAGCUAACGCAUUAAGCGCCCCGCCUGGGGAGUACGAUCGCAAGAUUAAAACUCAAAUGAAUUGACGG